GAUGGUGAUGGAACACAUGAACACCAGCGACCUCACAUACUCCAUCUCUAAAUGAAUCCAACGACACAUAAUCUCCACUCCGAUGCGAACCGAAUCGCAAGUCGAACGAGACCUAGCAACCGAUAGGAAAAUGGAAAGAAAGGAAGGCAAGGCGAAUCAAAGACAUUACUCUGAAUCGCAAUCCAAAUCCAGGGAUCGAAGGAAUCGCGGGGAAGAAGGAUUCGAAGGUUUAGUAGGUUGCGUUCUUUCAGAAAGGUUGAAGCGGUUGAUAAGGAGCGAUGGUGGUUGAGGAGAGGUUGAUGAAGCGCGAAGGUGGUUGAAAGGAUGUGGACGGUGGCGCGACGGCAGAAGAAAGGAUGUUGAUGGUGGCACGACGGAGGGAGAAAGGAUAUGGAUUGUGGCGUAUUGAAUCACAAGAUUGCGGGAAUUUAUGGUGGUGGUUAUGGAGGAUUGAAGAAAAAGUUUGUUAUCGGUGGAAAGAAAAAUGGAAGAGUGAGGAAGAAGAAUUAUGGAAAAAGAAUUGAAGGGGGCCAAAAUUUGUUGCUAAUCAAGGUAUUUAUAGAAUUUGAAGCUUACGUUUCUGGAUAUUUCAAUGUUGUUUUGCCUUUGCUGCAUUCUGCUUGCGUUUCAUUUCUAACUUGAAUGUGUUUUCACUUGCCACUGCAUUUUGGUUGCAACCUUUGUAUUGCUAUGUUGCCGCUGCGUUUCUGCCAUUUUGGCCUUGGCUGUUGCCGUUUUGGAUUGCGUUGCGCGUUUUUGACUGCAACCUUCAUGUUAUUAUCGUUACCGAUAUGGUGUACUGCAUACUAACUUGCACAUUUUUCCUUUCCAAUUUCUUCUUUUCAUUAUUUCAUUCAAAUGGAUGGAUUAGUUGGUUUAUGAACAAAUUGUGAAUUGUAAUGUUAAUGGAUCUAAGUGGAUUAUUGAAAAAUGAAAUUGGAUAUGGUUUAGUA
Lathyrus oleraceus (garden pea) is the source of this 953-nucleotide long non-coding RNA. RefSeq lists it as uncharacterized. The record is from RefSeq and is a predicted model, not a curated record. Lineage: Eukaryota; Viridiplantae; Streptophyta; Magnoliopsida; Fabales; Fabaceae. The transcript is spliced from 2 exons.